GAUGAACGCUGGCGGCGUGCCUAAUACAUGCAAGUCGAGCGAACAGACGAGGAGCUUGCUCCUCUGACGUUAGCGGCGGACGGGUGAGUAACACGUGGAUAACCUACCUAUCAGACUGGGAUAACUUCGGGAAACCGGAGCUAAUACCGUAUAAUAUAUUGAACCGCAUGGUUCAAUAGUGAAAGACGGUUUUGCUGUCACUUAUAGAUGGAUCCGCGCCGCAUUAGCUAGUUGGUAAGGUAACGGCUUACCAAGGCAACGAUGCGUAGCCGACCGGAGAGGGUGAUCGGCCACACGGGAACUGAGACACGGUCCAGACUCCUACGGGACGCAGCAGUAGGGAAUCUUCCGCAAUGGGCGAAAGCCUGACGGAGCAACGCCGCGUGAGUGAUGAAGGUCUUCGGAUCGUAAAACUCUGUUAUUAGGGAAGAACAAAUGUGUAAGUAACUAUGCACGUCUUGACGGUACCUAAUCAGAAAGCCACGGCUAACUACGUG
Molecule: ribosomal RNA, 497 nt
Filed under: uncultured bacterium
Lineage: Bacteria
Description: partial 16S ribosomal RNA
Rfam family: Bacterial small subunit ribosomal RNA
Source: RNAcentral